This is a long non-coding RNA of Octopus sinensis (East Asian common octopus), 172 nucleotides long. RefSeq lists it as uncharacterized. The record is from RefSeq and is a predicted model, not a curated record. The transcript is spliced from 3 exons. Lineage: Eukaryota; Metazoa; Mollusca; Cephalopoda; Octopoda; Octopodidae.
AUAAAAUUUUAUUGACAGUGACUUCGAAUGUUUACCACUUGUAUAACUUAUUUGAGUUGUUUGAAUACCCCAUGCAAAUUAUUUGACAUUGCCCAGAGUAAGAGCUAUUCAACCGAGUCUAACUUAGGACUAAACCACGACAACAAUGUGAAACAGUACGGAAUUUUGGAGG